Molecule: ribosomal RNA, 733 nt
Filed under: cyanobacterium enrichment culture clone D_RT_D.2.2_B12-T7
Lineage: Bacteria; Bacillati; Cyanobacteriota
Description: bacterial SSU rRNA
Rfam family: Bacterial small subunit ribosomal RNA
Source: RNAcentral
GUCUUCGGACAUUAGUGGCGGACGGGUGAGUAACGCGUGAGGAUCUGCCCUCAGGAUGGGGACAACAGUUGGAAACGACUGCUAAUACCCGAUGUGCCGGAAGGUGAAACUAUUUGGCCUGAGGAUGAGCUCGCGUCUGAUUAGCUAGUUGGAGUGGUAACGGCACACCAAGGCGACGAUCAGUAGCUGGUCUGAGAGGAUGAUCAGCCACACUGGGACUGAGACACGGCCCAGACUCCUACGGGAGGCAGCAGUGGGGAAUUUUCCGCAAUGGGCGAAAGCCUGACGGAGCAAGACCGCGUGGGGGACGAAAGUUUGUGGAUUGUAAACCCCUUUUGAUUGGGAAAAAGUUCUGACGGUACCAAUCGAAUCAGCAUCGGCUAACUCCGUGCCAGCAGCCGCGGUAAUACGGAGGAUGCAAGCGUUAUCCGGAAUUAUUGGGCGUAAAGCGUCCGUAGGUGGUUGGUCAAGUCAGUUGUUAAAGCGUGGGGCUUAACCCCAUAAAGGCAAAUGAAACUGACUAGCUAGAGUGCGAUAGGGGCAAGGGGAAUUCCCAGUGUAGCGGUGAAAUGCGUAGAUAUUGGAAAGAACACCGGUGGCGAAAGCGCCUUGCUGGGUCUGCACUGACACUGAGGGACGAAAGCUAGGGGAGCGAAAGGGAUUAGAUACCCCUGUAGUCCUAGCCGUAAACGAUGGAUACUAGGCGUUGUCCGUAUCGACCCGAGCCGUGCCG